This is a long non-coding RNA of Xiphophorus couchianus (Monterrey platyfish), 1034 nucleotides long. RefSeq lists it as uncharacterized. The transcript is spliced from 3 exons. Lineage: Eukaryota; Metazoa; Chordata; Actinopteri; Cyprinodontiformes; Poeciliidae. The record is from RefSeq and is a predicted model, not a curated record.
UUGGCAGGCUCAAAAUCCAUAUUGCCAAAAAAUGCAUCCCCAUCCUAGCUUGAAGAAAUAAAGAGUAAAGAGUGAAAUAACCUUUUCUACAAAAUUACACGUUUCCUCUGAGCUACUGGUAAGAGUUUCACAUCAAUAGCAUAACAUUUGAGGAAAAUAGAGAGGGCAUGCAAAUAUCAGCAGGCUAAUAAUAGGCUUUGCCGUAAAAUGCAUCCCCUGCUAAUAUGGAGAAAUGAAGAGUUAAGAGGGAUUUCACCAUUUCUAUGUAAUGACACUUGUUCUCUGAGUUACUUCUAUAAGUUUCAGUUCAACAGGACAACAGACAGGCAAUACAAAUAUUGGCAAUCUCAGAAAUUAAAAUGCAUCCCCCCUACAUUAAUAGACUAGACAGUAAAGGAUGAUAUAAAAUGUUCCACAUAAUGGGCCUCGGUUUUGUAAUGCUUUAAGCUAUUAUGGUGUUCAAAGAAAAAUUGGGGAAUUUCAAACCAUCUGUGGAGAACAUUUUCAUCAGAUACUGACUGAAAAACGUUUGACUCAUAUGUCUCAAUAAAGGUGUAAAAACCGUAUUUAUUUCAAUAAAUCUGCGAAAUAAAACCCUCUGUUUUAGGGCUUACAUAGUUAGACUUAGACUUAUUUUAUUGUCAUUUCUCAAAGAAACAUAAGUAAAAUUGGCAAUGAAAUGUCAUCGCUUGGCCACUGGAGCACACACAGAAACACAAGUGUGCCUAUAAUUACAUAAUAAACAAAUAAUAAUGUAUUGCUAAAUAUAUAUAUAACUUAGUAUUUUCAAGCAGUCUGAGACAGUUUUAGUGAUGGGAUUGUUGAGCAAUCUGAUGGCCAGUGGGAGACAACUAUUUCUGUUCUGCAGCGGAUGCUACGGAAUCUCCUGCCAGAUGCCAACAGGAUGAACAGACCAGGGAGAGGAUGGAUAAGAAACCUGAUAAUGUUACGAGUAUCUUUAAAAGUUUCGUCUUCGGUCAUAUUUCAGUCCGUUUUCUCAUCUAUAUGCGAGAGUUUAGAGCAGGGGGUGUCAA